Long non-coding RNA from Scophthalmus maximus (turbot), 2996 nucleotides. RefSeq lists it as uncharacterized. The record is from RefSeq and is a predicted model, not a curated record. Lineage: Eukaryota; Metazoa; Chordata; Actinopteri; Pleuronectiformes; Scophthalmidae. The transcript has 3 exons.
UGGGAAACAAACAUAUCACUGUUAUUUUCAACACGUCUAUGUAUCGACUCUGGAAGGAUACAGUGUGGAUUAUAUGGAGGACUUGUCAGGUGUUCAGGUAUUCAAGCUCUUACGUAACUGUGUUGGUGGGAACCUGCUGGCUGUUCAAACAGGUCGGCGUCACAGGGGAUUAGGGGCUGAUGGACACGACCCACAUACUGAGAAGCUUCCCUGCAGUCUGCAGGCUGGCAGAGAAUGAAAGAGCUCCCUGGUUCAUCCCUGAUGCUCCCCCAGCUGCCGUCGGGCCCACUCUCUCUACGGGCCUCUGUCUCCAGCCCUCCGCGGUGGGCUUUGACUUGUUCAAGGUCCCCUCUGUGAUGUGGGCUACCCAAUAAAAGCCAAUGCCACAUAGCUGGAUUCCCAGGCCCGUUUCCCCCCUGAGUCUUUAUCUUUCACAGCAUUGACUGAAGGUGAGGGCUGCCAGAGAAUUGGGUUUCACUCGGCUCACACAGACUGUCUCGUUCUUUGCCUCUUUGGCAAAACCAUGGGUGGAAGGAGCUGAAACAUUCAGUGGAGUGUGAGUGUCUGGGUUUCCAUCUCAGCACUUUUCCAUUUCAAAUCAAGUGGGUCUGAUUGGAUUCCACACAGCAAGUCCUCAAUAUUUUAAAAUAGCUCCUAAAGAGAAGGUUCAGAUUUUUCCUCCUGUCCAUCUUAAUGCAAUUUUGGCAAACCACACAAAAUUCUAGGUCACUAUCCCAUCCAACCUGUUCAUACUCAGGGAUGUAGCACCAAAUUCUGGGCCUUAUACAUAACUGAAGUUUUUGUGCAUGGUAUCUAUGCAAUGUUAUGAAAAAGGGUGGUAAUGGAUUUUAAAAACAACAACAUGCCGCUGGUCCAAAUGUGAAACUCAAAGCUUCAAAACAGUACUUCACAAACCACGGUGGAUUACCAUUUGACCUAUCACCGAAUUGCAUGGCUUUGGACUGUGGACAGAAAAAGUAUUUGAGCCAGGAUUCGAACCAAGAUCAUUUCAAAACAUGUUUUAUUGUUUUGAAAUGUGAGACUGACUCACACACGCAGACUUUCUCAGCUCAAGUGAGUCCGAAAAUAUACUUGCAAUACUUAGGAAAUUUGAAGCGUUUUAUUUUUUAUUUUUUAAUAUCCAGACUGCUGACGUAAGUCAUAAAAAUUGCUCUAUGUGUCUUUAGGAGUUUGACAAAUCUCGGCGUUAAAAGUUGCCGGUCGGACCUUUCUCUGAUGCAGCUCGAUGACAGUCAUGAAUGGGACUGAGCAUGUAGGUGCAGCAAUAUACAUGUUUGUGUUUACAGCGGCUCAGCAGCUGCCCUGACUGCUCCCCGCUGCACUGUCGAAACAGGAAAAGCCUUAUAUAACACAUUACACACAGUAAAAGAUUAACAUGCAGUCACUGAGUUAAUCUGUUACACAAACACAGACACAGGAGCAGGUGUGCAUGCAAACAUGCACACAAAUGUACACGUAGUCGACCGAGUUGAGUUGAAACAGACAUGCAUCUGUGUGAAGGUACAUAUACAUGCAAACAUAACACGCGCAUAUUCACAGGACACACGAGGACAAACAAAUCCAAGCUGAAACGCAGAGUAGAAUUUAUACUAUGGUAAGUCUGUCAUAUACAAAAACAUGGAUACACCACACACACGCGCAAACACAUCCCUGGACAGAGUUCAUCCAGUCAUUCCAUCCUUGUGGCGGUGAAGCUGUUUUUCCAUCGCUGGGCUCUUAGCGUGACACUGUGGUCCAAACAGCAGUGAAAUAUUACAUGGGCCCGGGUUAUUAAAACUGUUAUUAGCAUGGCCAAUUGGGGCUAAACAGGACCUGACUGUCACCCUAAUGACAGGGUGGCUGAGGGCUGGGAAAAGGAGGGGGGGGGGGCUGUUCUGCUGAAACCUCUGACCAUCAUCCACCAAACAGCCCCAGUGGAUUCCCUGCCACUAAUAUCCAUCCACCACCAACCGCCCCUUUAUCCCUCCAUGUGCUCAGAGCCCUCUGGAUCCUGCGCUGCAUGAGACAAAUAAAACUGUGGUAUUCACAUACAAAGCCCCCGAUACACACAGACAUGGAGACAGAGAGCAAAACAAAUACAGUUUCUCUUACACAGAUAAAACAGACAUAUGGAUGCAUAUAAUUACCAUACAAAUAAACAUGUUUCGAAACAAAUAAACCAAAAUUUGUUCCGUCUCCAUUCAUUUUCCAGUACAGUUUUUUUAUUUGAUUCUACUGCAUCCUUUUACUCCACAUUCAAGAGGAAAACACAAUAUUUUAUUUUGGGCACGGAAUGGAAUCUGAUCUGCAGCUCUGUUGUAAAUCUCACAACUGUGAAGAAGAUAAGAUAAAGUUAAUUAAAAAUUCAAAUACAGCCACUGUGUAUAAUCGCCCAUGACUGCCAGGGUCUGUUAUACUUUGCUCAUCACAAUGAAACAAAUUAAAGUCUUGCAGCAUCCCUGAUUCCAGCUGCAGAUCUUUUUUGUUUUUGCAUGUCUUUCUCCUCUCAUGCUCCCCUCAUCUCCUUUGUGCAAAAAAAUAAAAUGAGGAUUUAACACAUUUCUAAAGUGUUUCCCCCCACAUGAUUACUAUUUUACCCAAAGAGCAUCCAACCCUACAAUCUUUAACAUCCUCUGAUUUUUUUUUCCCACCAGUAUCUGCUUUAUGAUAAUGAUAUGAAAGACUUCCAACAUUGACAACAUGUGUUUAAACAAAUCAUUCGAAAGCCAACAAGCACAUAUCAGAUCGCUCUUUCCUCCUACUCAGCCUUAUAUUCUCACUCACAGUCUCACCCACCUCUGGUUCCCCUGCUUUCCCCCUUCCCCUCCUUUGCAAAGCAAUAAACUGAACUGCAUAUCUUCACACAGAAAACACACACAGAGUACAAAACAUAGCUGUAGCUCACAGUGGCCGAUGCUGACCAACUACAGUGGGCUUCAGCUGGAGCCAGAGAGACCACUGUGGUUAUCGCUGGGUCUUUGGUAUCCAAAAAAGCC